RNAcentral lists this ribosomal RNA (253 nucleotides) under uncultured bacterium. RNAcentral describes it as "partial 16S ribosomal RNA". It matches the Rfam family "Bacterial small subunit ribosomal RNA", at positions 524 to 776 of the family's 1533-position model. The record is from RNAcentral.
GACGUAGGGCGCAAGCGUUGUCCGGAUUUAUUGGGCGUAAAGAGCUCGUAGGCGGCUUGUUGCGUCGUCCGUGAAAACCUGUGGCUCAACUACAGGCUUGCGGUCGAUACGGGCGGGCUGGAGUUCGGUAGGGGAGACUGGAAUUCCUGGUGUAGCGGUGAAAUGCGCAGAUAUCGGGAAGAACACCCGUGGCGAAGGCGGCUCUCUGGAACGCAACUGACGCUGAGACGCGAAAGCGUGGGGAGCAAACAGG